AGUGAGCGCUGGCGGUAGGCCUAACACAUGCAAGUCGAACGGCAGCACAGUAAGAGCUUGCUCUUACGGGUGGCGAGUGGCGGACGGGUGAGGAAUACAUCGGAAUCUACUUUUUCGUGGGGGAUAACGUAGGGAAACUUACGCUAAUACCGCAUACGGCCUACGGGUGAAAGCAGGGGAUCUUCGGACCUUGCGCGAUUGAAUGGGCCGAUGUCGGAUUAGCUAGUUGGCGGGGUAAAGGCCCACCAAGGCGACGAUCCGUAGCUGGUCUGAGAGGAUGAUCAGCCACACUGGAACUGAGACACGGUCCAGACUCCUACGGGAGGCAGCAGUGGGGAAUAUUGGACAAUGGGCGCAAGCCUGAUCCAGCCAUACCGCGUGGGUGAAGAAGGCCUUCGGGUGGUAAAGCCCUUUUGUUGGGAAAGAAAAGCAGCAGGUUAAUACCCCGCUGUUCUGACGGUACCCAAAGAAUAAGCACCGGCUAACUUCGU
This 491-nucleotide ribosomal RNA is filed under the name uncultured bacterium. Its description in RNAcentral is "partial 16S ribosomal RNA". It matches the Rfam family "Bacterial small subunit ribosomal RNA", at positions 29 to 506 of the family's 1533-position model. The record is from RNAcentral.